RNAcentral lists this ribosomal RNA (253 nucleotides) under uncultured bacterium. RNAcentral's name for it is "partial 16S ribosomal RNA". It matches the Rfam family "Bacterial small subunit ribosomal RNA", at positions 57 to 305 of the family's 1533-position model. The record is from RNAcentral.
GCAAGUCGAACGAGAACGGUACUAGCUUGCUAGUAUGUCAGCUAAGUGGCGGACGGGUGAGUAAUGUAUAGUUAAUUUGCCCCUUAGAGAGGGAUAACAGUUGGAAACGACUGCUAAUACCUCAUACUCCUUUUAUAUUAAUUAUAAUUGGGAAAUGUUUUUUCGCUAAGGGAUAAGACUAUAUGGUAUCAGGUAGUUGGUGGGGUAAGAGCCUACCAAGCCAAUGACGCCUAGCUGGUCUGAGAGGAUGAUC